UCCAUUUUCUUUGAAGUAGGAAAAGGAAAAGUAGGAAAAGGAAAGAGAGUGGCCAUUUCAAAUGCAAAAUAUUUUUGGCCUGAGGGAGAGUUGGGGGAAAAAGUUGCUUUCCCCAACAUCAAUUACUUAUGGAAAAAAUUCCUCCACCAGGACAAAGGGAGGCAACAGCUCUCAUUCCACUCAGAGGUGUCGGAAGAUCUGUUGAAGACUCCUGUCCAUUGACCAGAGUAUAUACUCCUGGCUCCAGCCCACGGGGAGUCCUGAAACACUGGAUACAACAGAGAAAUAAAGAAGACAAUGGAACAUAUUAAAUGACGACGUGGACAUUUAAUCAGCAAAAUGUUGUUGCAAAAUUUAGAGGACAAAUGACCAAUUUCUUCAACACAUAAAUGGAUAGACUAAAAGAAAGAAAUGGAGUAGAGAUGGGGUCUCGCUCUUGCUCAAGCUGAGCUCAAA
Non-coding RNA from Microcebus murinus (gray mouse lemur), 456 nucleotides. The record is from RefSeq and is a predicted model, not a curated record. NCBI's taxonomy places the organism in Eukaryota, Metazoa, Chordata, Mammalia, Primates, Cheirogaleidae.